This is an RNA transcript of Marmota monax (woodchuck), 6630 nucleotides long. It is a transcript of the gene named Sp3 transcription factor, with no coding region annotated. The record is from RefSeq and is a predicted model, not a curated record. NCBI's taxonomy places the organism in Eukaryota, Metazoa, Chordata, Mammalia, Rodentia, Sciuridae. The transcript has 6 exons.
UAGGAAAAAAAAAUCCCCGGACCGCUCCGGCCGUGUCCGCCGCCGCUUCCCGCAUCCUCUCUCGCCGCCGCCGCCUUCGCUCCUCACCAUGUGUAAGGCGGCGGGGAGCCCCGCCUGAGGUGCCCUAAACACACUAUGACCGCUCCCGAAAAGCCCGUGAAACAAGAGGAAAUGGCUGCCUUGGACGUGGACAGCGGCGGCAGCGGCGGCGGCGGCCACGGCGAGUAUAUGCAGCAGCAGCAGCACGGAAACGGCGCGGUGGCGGCGGCGGCGGCCCAGGACACUCAGCCGUCACCGCUUGCUCUGUUGGCCGCUACCUGCAGCAAGAUAGGGCCGCCAUCGCCCGGCGACGACGAGGAGGAGGCGGCCGCCGCUGCCGGGGCCCCAGCCGCCGCCGCCGGAGCGACAGGUGAUUUGGCUUCUGCACAGUUAGGAGGAGCACCAAACCGAUGGGAGGUUUUGUCAGCCACACCUACAACUAUAAAAGAUGAAGCUGGUAAUCUAGUACAGAUUCCAAGUGCUGCUACUUCGAGUGGGCAGUAUGUCCUUCCCCUUCAAAAUUUGCAGAAUCAACAAAUAUUUUCAGUUGCACCAGGAUCAGAUUCAUCAAAUGGUACAGUGCCCAAUGUUCAAUAUCAAGUAAUACCACAGAUUCAGUCAACAGAUGGUCAGCAGGUUCAGAUUGGUUUCACAGGCUCUUCAGAUAAUGGGGGUAUAAAUCAAGAAAGCAGUCAAAUUCAGAUCAUUCCUGGCUCUAAUCAAACCUUACUUGCCUCUGGAACACCUCCUGCUAAUAUCCAGAAUCUCAUACCACAGACUGGUCAAGUCCAGGUUCAGGGAGUUGCAAUUGGUGGUUCAUCUUUUCCUGGCCAAACCCAAGUAGUUGCUAAUGUGCCUCUUGGUCUGCCAGGAAAUAUUACCUUUGUACCAAUCAAUAGUGUCGAUCUAGAUUCUUUGGGACUCUCGGGCAGUUCUCAGACAAUGACUGCAGGCAUUAAUGCCGAUGGACAUUUGAUAAACACAGGACAAGCUAUGGAUAGUUCAGACAAUUCAGAAAGGACUGGUGAGCGGGUUUCUCCUGAUAUUAAUGAAACUAAUACUGAUACAGAUUUAUUUGUGCCAACAUCCUCUUCAUCACAGUUGCCUGUUACGAUAGAUAGUACAGGUAUAUUACAACAAAAUACAAAUAGCUUGACUACUUCUAGUGGGCAAGUUCAUUCUUCAGAUCUUCAGGGAAAUUAUAUCCAGUCGCCUGUUUCCGAAGAGACACAGGCUCAGAAUAUUCAGGUUUCUACAGCACAGCCUGUUGUACAACAUCUACAGCUUCAAGAUUCUCAGCAGCCAACCAGUCAAGCCCAAAUUGUGCAAGGUAUUACACCACAGACAAUCCAUGGUGUGCAAGCCAGUGGUCAAAAUAUAUCACAACAGGCUUUGCAAAAUCUUCAGUUGCAGCUGAAUCCUGGAACCUUUUUAAUUCAGGCACAGACAGUGACCCCUUCUGGACAGAUAACUUGGCAAACAUUUCAAGUACAAGGGGUCCAGAACUUGCAGAAUUUGCAAAUACAGAAUACUGCUGCCCAACAAAUAACUUUGACGCCUGUCCAGACACUCACGCUUGGUCAAGUUGCAGCAGGUGGAGCCUUGACUUCAACUCCAGUUAGUCUAAGCACUGGUCAGUUGCCAAAUCUACAGACAGUUACAGUAAACUCUAUAGAUUCUACUGGUAUACAGCUACAUCCAGGAGAGAAUGCUGACAGUCCUGCAGAUAUUAGGAUCAAGGAAGAAGAACCUGAUCCUGAAGAGUGGCAGCUCAGUGGUGAUUCUACAUUGAAUACCAAUGAUCUAACACACUUAAGAGUACAGGUGGUAGAUGAAGAAGGGGACCAACAACAUCAAGAAGGAAAAAGACUUCGGAGGGUAGCUUGCACCUGUCCCAACUGUAAAGAAGGCGGUGGGAGGUAUGCAUACAUGAACCAUACUCCUUAUGUUUUUGUUUUUGUGUUUGUUUGUUUUUAAGAGUACUAAUAUCACCACCCUAAAUUUUUAAAAUAUCGCAUGCCAUGUCACUUAAUUUGGAAAAUUAUUCAUUACAUGAUCAUUUUUGGGUGUGUGACUAUAAAAGAGUGUGAUAUAAAUUAGAAAAUAAAAAUAUGAAAUUGAAUUUUCAGAUAUGAAUGCCUUUAAAACUAAAAUUAUGUAGUUUUUUAAAAACAAUGUAACAGAUGCAAUUUUAUUGGCCCAUAUUAGAAAUAAUACUGUUAGCAGACUAGCAAUGGGUUUUGCUUAAAUACAGAUUAAAAAAAUUCUUGAGUAUUACAGUUACAUAAAAAUAUUGUUUUUAUUAGAAAAUUCAGAAAUAGCUGAUAAGCACAAACAUUUUCAUUUUCAACAGAAAUGGGAAUAAAUGGCCUGAUUGGGGGGGUGGAUUUUUUUUAGUAUUUCAAGUCAGUUUUUUUUUUUUUAAACACUAAGACAAUUACAUGACAGGAAUAAACUCAAACCAUUAGUAUUUGUGUCAGAUGUUAAGCUUAUUGACUAAGAGACUGUGACUCAUUUUUAAACAACACCUCAAAUAAUUGAUGUAGCAAUGUUGAAGAUGAUGCAUAAAUUAUGCAUCAGGUCAACUUUUGAGAAAGAGAAAACUUGGAUAGCAGUAUUGUUAUCAGGCAAGAUGGGAUUAAGGUUUAAAGCUUCAAGUGGACAGACAUGGAUAUAUUUCUUGUUAAUAAUAUCAAGUUUCCAUCAAACAAAUUUAAUAUUCAUAGUACUUUUUUCUAUAGCUUUGAAAUACAUGAGCAAAAACUGGUAGAACUGUAAAGCUAUACUGAACAAUUUCUUGGUCAUAGUGAAAGGUCUUAACACACUACUGUUAAGUACAGUUUAAGUGACAAAAUAUACUGUAAAAUAGAAGGGUGUAUAUAAAUAUAUGCAGUUUAUCUGACAAGAUCAACUUUCUCUGCCUUUUUGGAUUGGUCUUAUUAGCUGAUUUGUACACUGGCCAGCCCAUUUGCAAUACUACUACAACUGCUGCUAUUACUACUACUACUAAUAGCUAAUAUCUGCUAACAUUGUGAACUUAAUAUAUUCCAGUAUGUCUUAUAAGUGAGCUAUAGAGAAGAACAAACAAAUACUUACUCCAAAGAUUUUGCCAUUAUACUACUAUCUAUAGAGUGAAUCUGCUUUUGCAUUAUAUCCUUAGGUGUUUGCAUUUAUUGUAAUCAGUUGUUUUAAAUUUAUUUGUUCAAAAAAAUUCUUGUUAGGCAAUAACUUCUGAAAUUCUUAUUUUAGAGAACUUAUGAAAAUCAAAUCUAAUUGUAGACCUAGGCCUGGCCUGUUUCAUUUGUUCUUUAAAGUAAAAAUCUUUUAAUUAAUUGCUAUGUGCUAAACUAACAUAUAUUCCUAAAAAUUCAGCAAUAUGGAAUAAUAUUUUUAAAACUCCAAAAUCCUAACCUACUUUAAUAUUAACCACUAUAGCACUUUGUUAUGUAUCCUUUCAGAUAUUACAUGUAUUUUAAAGUAGAAUCAUUAUCUCCUCACUGUUUUAUUUGUCUCUUCUUAUUUUGAAAACUUUGUCACCAUAUUUCCAAGUCGAGUUUGUAUCAUUUUUAUGUCUGAAGUAUUCUAUUGCAUGAUGUGUAAUAAUUUAGUAUUUUCUUUUGUUGGGGCUUGUCAUAAUCCUCACAUAGGUCUUUGCAUAUUUGUCUGAUUAUCUCAUUAGUAUAAAUUGGCAGAACUAGAAUUGCUGGGUCAAAGAAUUUUCUGCUAGAAAGGCUGAAUCAAUUUCAACUCCCACCAGUGUUGUAUUAGAAUAUCUGCAUUUUCACAUCCUGACCAACACUGGAUUUUGUUAUUUUAUAUAUAUAUAUAUAUAUAUAUAUAUAUAUGUUGUAGAUGGACACAAUGCCUUUAUUUUAUUUGUUUAUUUAUAUUUGGUGCUGAGGAUCAAAUCCAGGGCCUUGUGCAAGCGAGGCAAGCGCUCUAUCACUGAGCUACAACCCCAGUCCCAAACACUGGAUUUUAAUCAUAUUUUUCAACCUUUUAAAGCUGACAUGUGAAAAUAAUAUCACUAUUGUUUUACUUGGCGAGGUUGAACAUUUUUUUGGUUGUUACUUUGCCAUUUAAAAAUUUCUUGUGAAUUGUUUGUCUUUUGUGAAUCUGUUAAUUUGUGUAUUAACUGUCAUGUGCAUAUAUUUUUUGCCGGUUUUAUAUUGCCUUCAGCUUUAUGUCGAUAGUUUGCAGAACGCAUUGUUAUAUAUAAGUAGUUCCAUCGUAUGGUUGACAGACUUUUUUUUAAACACAAAAUUUAAAUUGGUCAGUGUUUUAUUAGAUUCCUUGUUAUCAUGUGUUAAAAGCCCGAGAAUUAGAAAAAUAUUCACUCACUUUUUUCUAGGACAAUUUUUACUUUGUUUUAAAAAAUAGCUUCCUAUAAGUAAUAAAAAUCAAGGUUCUUAAGAAGAAAACUAUAUUGUCUAUUAAAACUCUUUUGAACAAUAUACAACUAGUGUGUGUGUGUGUGUGUGUGUGUAUGAGAUAGGAACACUUGUAUAAAUUGCAAUUGUUGCAUCUAAUUAGUAGAAGCACUAACAUAUUGUAAGUCCAAAAUAUUUCAUAACAUUCUGCAAGGAAGAGAAGUGGCAUGUAAGAUUUAAAAAAAAAAAAAAAUUGGCCCUUUUUUUCCCAAUCAUUUUCUUAAAAUUUUUCUUAAAAGAAUACGAGCAAGAUGGCAUUUUUUGAGAGUUAAUUUCAUUCAUCUUUAGAGAACUGAGUUUUGUUUCCCUUUUUGAGCAAGGUGUAAAAAUAAUAAAAACAUAUUCAUUUAGCCAAUAUUUAUUGAGCAGAACCAACCUUGAGAAACACCAGUAGAGGAGACAUCUUGAUUGUAAUAAAAUAAUAUAGAAUUCUAAAGACAUUAUUAUUGUGUAGGUUUUGUAUGCAUUAAAGCCUUGAUCCAUAUUUUUUAAUUUAAUUUGUAAAAUUUGUUUUGUCAGCAUUUAGUUUGUCUUGUUUUCUCCCACCCUAACCAAGAGAAACUAGAUUUAUUCAACUUUUCUUAACUCCACCCAGAAUUUUGCAUUAUUUAUUCUGUGUGGUCAUUAAAUCACUAUGCACUUACGAAUAGAAACUUAAAAUUGUUAGUUUUUUAGGUUAUCUAAUAGGUGCUAGUGGCUAUAUAAUAGGUAUUAGUGGUAUCUAAUUAUGUGUCAGUCAAGAAGAAGAGUUAUAAGCCGGGCACAAUGGCACACGCCUGUAAUCCCAGUGGCUCAGGAGGCCGAGAUAGGAGGAUCGUGAGUUCAAAGCCAGCCUCAGCAACUGCGAGGCUGCUAAGGAAUCAGUGAGACCCUGUCUCUAAAUAAAAUACAAAAUAGGGCUGAGGAUAUGGUUCAGUGGUCAAGUGCUCCUGAGUUCAGUCACCCUCCCCCGCAAAAAAGAUGUGUGAAUCUUUUCUUUGUUGAGAAAUUCACUUCAGUCCUUUUCCCUUCCAUCAUAGGACAUGGCAAAAAUUCAUAUCUAGCAUAUUUAGAUCUUAAUCUUGAAUCAAAUACCCCCACCUUUUCUUUUUUGUGGUGCUUGGGAUUGAACCCAGCACUUCAUACAUGUUAGUCAAGUGCUCUACUGCCGAGCUACAGCCCUAGCCUCAAAUUUCCUUUUGAAGUGGAAACUUGGACUUGAAUGUUGAGCAUUUCCCUUAAAUUAUAGUAUUUAUGUAUGACUGUGCUCCAUUUUUUUCUUUCUUAGAUAGAUACUGAUCCCAUUUUAAACAGUGAAUAUUUCUCUUAUGAUUCAAUUGAAAAAUCUUUCCCUACUAAUUUUUUGGUUUUUUGAGAACCCAAAUUUGUUGUGUUGAGUUGUUAGAUUCUUAGGCUUUGUUAGUGCUCCCAGGCUAAAUUUUGCUGAGUUUGUGAAAUAACACUUUUGAGUUUAUAAAAAGCACAUUGAUUCACCUAAGUGGUAAUCUUAGAGGAGAGGCAAGAGGUCAUGAAUAUACAAGUGAACUGAAUUGGGUUGUCUGUGAAAUUGCUAUGGUGAACACAAUACGUAAAAUUGGUUUGUACACUACUAGCCACAAACAUUGCUGUUUUUCUUAGGGCUAUUAAGGAUAAAGCAAAUUUUUAAGAAGCUGAAUGAAAUGGAAACAAUCAAACUUUGGCAUUGCAAGUGAGCCAGAAAAACCUUUCACUCAGAAACCCAGCUCUUUGAAGAGAGUUGUAGAAAAUGGGGGUGGACUGGAGCAGGAACUAGAAUUGUGUUAGAUUAUGACAUCCUUGCCCUUGAGACAACAGCAUGACUCCUCCUUGUCUUUACUUAUGCUAUUCCUCUGCCUGGAAUGCCUUCCCUUCUUUCUAUCUAAAUCCUACCCACCUCCUCCACGAAGUCUUCUCUAACUACUGGAGCCCACAUUGAUGUCUCCCUGUUCAGAACACCUAUGGCACCUAACAGCCAGCACUGCACCGUUUAGCACUGUUUGUCCUAUGGCAAUUUCACAUGCUACUGAGUAGGUACCAAUCUUGGGAAAAAGAAGCAACACAUUUGUCAUAUACCAGGAUGUGGUAAAGUCUAUGGGAAGACCUCACAUCUGAGAGCGCAUCUGCGUUGGCAUUCUGGAGAGCGCCCUUUUAUUUGUAACUGGAU